Molecule: non-coding RNA, 101 nt
Filed under: uncultured Clostridium sp.
Lineage: Bacteria; Bacillati; Bacillota; Clostridia; Eubacteriales; Clostridiaceae
Description: SAM riboswitch (S box leader)
Rfam family: SAM riboswitch aptamer (S box leader)
About the family: The SAM riboswitch is found upstream of a number of genes which code for proteins involved in methionine or cysteine biosynthesis in Gram-positive bacteria. The SAM riboswitch acts at the level of transcription termination control.
Source: RNAcentral
CUUAUCAAGAGUGGUGGAGGGACUGGCCCUGUGAAACCCAACAACCAGCAGUAUAAAUUCUGUAUGGUGUUAAAUCCUGCAAUUUUAAUUGAUAGAUAAGA